AAGGUUGUUCCAACAAAUCCGACACAGUCAUGAUAUAACAAUAUUGUUACAACCUCGUGUCGUCAACCUUGUAACAUUCUUGUUAUAUCAUGACUGUAUCAGACUUGUUAGAACAACCUU
This is a non-coding RNA of Paramuricea clavata, 120 nucleotides long. The record is from the annotation of a GenBank genome assembly. Lineage: Eukaryota; Metazoa; Cnidaria; Anthozoa; Malacalcyonacea; Plexauridae.